CGGCUCGGAUGCAUCAAAAACGAAAAACCCCGCUGUUUCCAGCGGGGUUUUCCUGAUUGUGGAUAACCUGAAAGGUUACUCGACGAUCGAAGCGACGAUGCCGGCGCCGACGGUGCGGCCGCCUUCGCGGAUAGCGAAGCGCAGCUUUUC
Molecule: small RNA, 150 nt
Filed under: Rhizobium sp. N1314
Lineage: Bacteria; Pseudomonadati; Pseudomonadota; Alphaproteobacteria; Hyphomicrobiales; Rhizobiaceae
Also listed under: 1 other name
Description: miscellaneous other RNA
Source: RNAcentral